UGGGGAAUUUUGGACAAUGGGCGAAAGCCUGAUCCAGCAAUGCCGCGUGUGCGAAGAAGGCCUUCGGGUUGUAAAGCACUUUUGUCCGGAAAGAAAUCCGCCUGGCCAAUACCCGGGCGUGAUGACGGUACCGGAAGAAUAAGCACCGGCUAACUACGUGCCAGCAGCCGCGGUAAUACGUAGGGUGCGAGCGUUAAUCGGAAUUACUGGGCGUAAAGCGUGCGCAGGCAGCUUUGUAAGACAGAUGUGAAAUCCCUGGGCUCAACCUGGGAACUGCAUUUGUGACUGCAAGGCUAGAGUGCGUCAGAGGGAGGUGGAAUUCCGCGUGUAGCAGGGAAAUGCGUAGAGAUGCGGAGGAACACCGAUGGCGAAGGCAGCCUCCUGGGAUGACACUGACGCUCAUGCACGAAAGCGUGGGGAGCAAACA
Molecule: ribosomal RNA, 427 nt
Filed under: uncultured bacterium
Lineage: Bacteria
Description: bacterial SSU rRNA
Rfam family: Bacterial small subunit ribosomal RNA
Source: RNAcentral